Transfer RNA from Candidatus Entotheonella sp., 71 nucleotides. It matches the Rfam family "tRNA". From Rfam's summary of the family: Transfer RNA (tRNA) molecules are approximately 80 nucleotides in length. The record is from Rfam. Lineage: Bacteria; Pseudomonadati; Candidatus Tectimicrobiota; Candidatus Entotheonellia; Candidatus Entotheonellales; Candidatus Entotheonellaceae.
UGGGGUGUCGUCCAACGGCAGGACUCCAGACUCUGGAUCUGGCUAUCUAGGUUCGAAUCCUAGCACCCCAG